RNAcentral lists this ribosomal RNA (253 nucleotides) under uncultured bacterium. RNAcentral describes it as "partial 16S ribosomal RNA". It matches the Rfam family "Bacterial small subunit ribosomal RNA", at positions 524 to 776 of the family's 1533-position model. The record is from RNAcentral.
UACAGAGGUCCCAAGCGUUGUUCGGAUUCACUGGGCGUAAAGCGUGCGUAGGCGGUCGGGUAAGUCCGGUGUGAAAUCUCACAGCUUAACUGUGAAACUGCAUUGGAUACUAUCCGGCUCGAGGAAUGGAGGGGAGACUGGAAUACUUGGUGUAGCAGUGAAAUGCGUAGAUAUCAAGUGGAACACCAGUGGCGAAGGCGAGUCUCUGGACAUUUCCUGACGCUGAGGCACGAAAGCCAGGGGAGCAAACGGG